CACGCAGGCGGUCUGUCAAGUCGGAUGUGAAAUCCCCGGGCUCAACCUGGGAACUGCAUUCGAAACAGGCAGGCUAGAGUCUUGUAGAGGGGGGUAGAAUUCCAGGUGUAGCGGUGAAAUGCGUAGAGAUCUGGAGGAAUACCGGUGGCGAAGGCGGCCCCCUGGACAAAGACUGACGCUCAGGUGCGAAAGCGUGGGGAGCAAACA
Molecule: ribosomal RNA, 207 nt
Filed under: uncultured bacterium
Lineage: Bacteria
Description: partial 16S ribosomal RNA
Rfam family: Bacterial small subunit ribosomal RNA
Source: RNAcentral